RNAcentral lists this ribosomal RNA (459 nucleotides) under uncultured bacterium. Its description in RNAcentral is "partial 16S ribosomal RNA". It matches the Rfam family "Bacterial small subunit ribosomal RNA", at positions 338 to 795 of the family's 1533-position model. The record is from RNAcentral.
CCUACGGGGGGCAGCAGUGAGGAAUAUUGGUCAAUGGGCGGGAGCCUGAACCAGCCAAGCCGCGUGAGGGAAGAAGGUACAGCGUAUCGUAAACCUCUUUUGUCAGGGAACAAAGGCGGGGACUAGUCCCCGUAUGAGGGUACCUGAAGAAAAAGCAUCGGCUAACUCCGUGCCAGCAGCCGCGGUAAUACGGAGGAUGCGAGCGUUAUCCGGAUUUAUUGGGUUUAAAGGGUGCGCAGGCGGCCUGUUAAGUCAGCGGUAAAAGCGCGGGGCUCAACCCCGGCGAGCCGUUGAAACUGGCGGGCUGGAGUGAGAGAGAAGUACGCGGAAUGCGCGGUGUAGCGGUGAAAUGCUUAGAUAUCGCGCAGAACCCCGAUUGCGAAGGCAGCAUACCGGCUCCAAACUGACGCUGAGGCACGAAAGCGUGGGUAUCGAACAGGAUUAGAUACCCGAGUAGUC